CUUUUCAGCAAGUGCCCAAUUCAAGUCGCUGAGAAGUUGUAGAUCGGGCGAGUCAAUUUUUCCUUUUGCUCUUCGAAGCUGGGCAUGCACAAGUUCAAUCUGGAAAAUUUUAAAAAGUUAGUAUUCAGCCAUAAUUCUUAAUCAAAUUACCAAAUACAUACCAUAUGAAUGUAGCUGAAAAGUAUACUAGCAGAAAAAAUGUGGGACACAUGCAUGGAUGAUGGUGGGGACAAGUCAAAGAAAGGAAUAUGGCAUAUGGGAUCUUUUGACAUUCGAGAAAACCACAUAUCUGUGCAUAUAACUUUCACAUGUACACAUUGGCUUGCUUGGGUGGGGUGGGGUGGGGAUGGAUGGAGAUGUUGUGUUGUGUCUUACCAAUCUUUUCUUGUUGCCAGUUGUUCUUUUAGACUCAAUGGCUCGCAAGUCUAUCCGGCUGUAUUAGCCCUCUUCAACAAAAUGAAUCAAAACAGUCAAAAGAGAAGGGAAAGCUUCAUUUAUUUAUAUUUGCGUUCGAUUGCUCAACUAAACCCAAAUUGGACCACCACAAAAGGACAAGAAAAAGGCAGUGAUUGGAUGUGCAAAGUUCUUGUCCUUGCUGAAAUACAAAAGGGCAACAUCUAUUGUGGCUAUCCAUAUCUAUAGUCUGCUGCUAGUGCAGGUACAAUAGUUAUUAUUCAUGCCAUCAGCUAUGUGAUAGAAGAAAUUGACUUUCAAAACAUUGCAUAUAAUAUGCAUGUAAUAACUAUAUAAUUUUUUUUUCUCAUUUUCCAUCCAACUUAUCCAAGCAAUAUUUUUUCAGAAUAAGUGAGGCACAGGAAACAUGGAGGGAGGGACAUGUCAUGGCAGUGAGGAAUCAGCUUUUUUUAAAAAAAAAAAAAAAAUCUUUUCUUGAGGAAAGAGGAGGCAGCAACACAAAAUGCAUGUGAUUAAUAAAACUAGACACAUUUUCAUAAGAGUAUUGGUGCUCCAGAUAUGUAUGGUUUGUGCCCAU
RNAcentral lists this long non-coding RNA (991 nucleotides) under Elaeis guineensis (African oil palm). Its description in RNAcentral is "long non-coding RNA (EGUI_LNC029189)". Lineage: Eukaryota; Viridiplantae; Streptophyta; Magnoliopsida; Arecales; Arecaceae. The record is from RNAcentral.